Molecule: long non-coding RNA, 228 nt
Filed under: Gossypium raimondii (Peruvian cotton)
Lineage: Eukaryota; Viridiplantae; Streptophyta; Magnoliopsida; Malvales; Malvaceae
Description: long non-coding RNA (GRAI_LNC009432)
Source: RNAcentral
UUUUGACAAUUGGCUCUGUCACAACUCAAGCACGACAUAUUUGGAGUGAUUGUAAGCAAUUAAUACGAUAAGGAAACCAACCCUAGAUGGUCUAAAGCAGUGGACAAAAACCGGUAAAAAGAAUUGAGUAUCCACCAAACUAGAGAGAACGACGACAAAACCAUCCUAAAAUCACUUGCAAAAGCAAGACUACAUGCAUAAGCAAGUCUAAAAACCAUGUUACAAGAG